UACGUAGGGGGCAAGCGUUGUUCGGAAUUAUUUGGCGUAAAGCGCUCGUAGGCGGGACUGGAAGUCCGUGUUGAAAGACCUCGGCUCAACUGAGGGACCGGCUCGGAUACUCUAGUUCUUGAGGCAAUCAGAGGGUGAUGGAAUUCCCGGUGUAGCGGUGAAAUGCGCAGAUAUCAGGAGGAACACCGAUGGCGAAGGCAGGUCUCUGGGCCACUACUGACGCUGAGAAGCGAAAGCAUGGGGAGCGAACAGG
RNAcentral lists this ribosomal RNA (253 nucleotides) under uncultured bacterium. Its description in RNAcentral is "partial 16S ribosomal RNA". It matches the Rfam family "Bacterial small subunit ribosomal RNA", at positions 524 to 776 of the family's 1533-position model. The record is from RNAcentral.